UACCGGCAGCACGAGUGAUGGCCGCUGUUAUUGGGCCUAAAGCGUCCGUAGCCGGCCAGACAAGUCCGUUGGGAAAUCCACGCGCUCAACGCGUGGGCGUCCAGCGGAAACUGUCUGGCUUGGGGCCGGAAGACCUGAGGGGUACGUCCGGGGUAGGAGUGAAAUCCCGUAAUCCUGGACGGACCACCGGUGGCGAAAGCGCCUCAGGAAGACGGACCCGACGGUGAGGGACGAAAGCUAGGGUCUCGAACCGG
RNAcentral lists this ribosomal RNA (254 nucleotides) under uncultured bacterium. Its description in RNAcentral is "partial 16S ribosomal RNA". It matches the Rfam family "Archaeal small subunit ribosomal RNA", at positions 474 to 727 of the family's 1478-position model. The record is from RNAcentral.